This is a long non-coding RNA of Brachypodium distachyon (stiff brome), 4047 nucleotides long. RefSeq lists it as uncharacterized. NCBI's taxonomy places the organism in Eukaryota, Viridiplantae, Streptophyta, Magnoliopsida, Poales, Poaceae. The transcript has 4 exons. The record is from RefSeq and is a predicted model, not a curated record.
AGCACCAAAAAUUUCCCGCCGUGCGUCUCACGAAUCUAUCUGACGGGACGGUUGAACCUCAAACCCUCGCUGCCUCCCACGAGUCCACGACCCUCCCUGCCUCCUCCAGAUUCCACACCUGUACUGCCGGCGCCGUACACGAUGAGCCACAGGCAGAGACGCCCGAUCUCCUCCGGCCCUCCCUGUACGGCCCCUGGCAGCUGUGGCUAGCACGCCGCGACGCCGCCCCAGCCUCCUCCGUACCCCUCCCUGUACGGCCCCUGGCAGCUGUGGCUAGAACGCUGCCCCUACGCACCCCAGCCUCCUCCGUACCGUGGCCUUCACACUUCAGGCCUUCGCUCUCUCGAGGUCGCUUCCCCGUCGAUCCACCACGAGAAUCUGUAUGCCCAUGGCUCCACAGGACGGUGGAUGUUGCACGUGAUCUCCACACUCGCCUCGAGGUGCUCAUGCCCUUUUCAGUAACGUGCUUAACUAUAUCUAAUUAUUAUUAGUUUCUUGAUUCUGGAGUUUUUUUUCAGGAAGUUGCUAAUACAUGCAUAGAUUUGAUGCUAAUGCGGUGGUACUGAUCGGUGCUUUGAGGCAUAGCACUAUUUAUUUUUUGAUUAUUUUGAUGGCCAUAUUUACUUUCUCAAUGUUUCUAUUACUACCUCCGACCAUAAUAAGUGUCGAGAUGGAGUACAUCAGUUUUGAUCCUUUUUACUUUACAACAGUUAAAUUAGUGCAGAUACCCUGUUUAGCAAAAAAAUUAACAGUGAUUCUUAGGACGAAAUUUGUUUGUUCUUCAAUUUGUUCAGCACCCAAGCUCAGUUUGAACUAUCUAAAACUAAGAUGGAUGGCGCUUUACUGAUUUUAUCUCAUAUUAGUGAUUGAUAUAACAUAUCAAAGCAAUACAAUUUUGUUCCUAGAAGAUACAGUACAGGAGUAUUGGCAAAAAUUCGUAAAUAUUAAUUGGUGCUUGUGACCUUAUCAAGUUUUAUGUGGAUGAGUUAAUUUACUGAUGAAACUAAUAACAUAUCCGAUGUCUUGAUCCGCUCAAGGGUCAUUAAGGAGCUGAAUCAAUGGAUGUUUAAAAUUUUACAAUAAAAGUGCUCAGUGCUUCAACUCCGAGAGUCUCCCUAAUUAAUGCAGGUACGCAUGUUGCUCUUCUCUGUGGCCUAUUCUUCAUCUAAGAGCUAGAAGAAUCAUGGUACCGCUCUUGCAGCUUGGGGGGUGAUGUUGUGCUAUUAUUAUGCAUGGACUCAUGGAGUGGAGUCAUGGUUACUGCGGCAGUGCUCCUACGGAGGUUAUUGGGACAAGCCGACAACGUGUUUGAGUUAAUAGGCAAACCAAAUUCUGUGUGGGGGAGCAUAAUUAAGUAUUCGAUCUUCAGUUAUAGAACAACGAGUUGCAGCCCUAGGGAAGAAAAACUAUCCUUCAAGUCCACACAAUGGAUUUUAAAGGUGUGCACAUGAUUAUUUCUAGGUACCUCGAUCUAGAUAACAUGCAGGAGAUUGGUAAAGCAAUAUUAUUUCACUACAACAUACAGAUGUGCUAUAUCAAGUUUUAUCUUCAUAUGAAGUGGUGGAGAAGAUAUGCCAGUCAUCCAGUUGACAUGUUCUAGAGUUUCUGUUGCCUUAUUGUGAUGCUUCGCACGGUGGCUGAAUCGAUCUCCUACAUCUCGCCUUGCUCAAUAAUGUCAAGAGAGUGGUGCUGAAAUUAUGUAUUACCUCCUUGAAAUCCUUCUGCCUCUGUAGGGUGUCUGCUAUGUCGCCUCCUCUCCAUGUCCACCAUUGAUGGCAGCUGUCAGAAGCCGCCCCCAACAUUAGACUGCCUAGAACUCCUUGUGACAAGCACUUACUGUCAUAAAUUCGACCCAUGUAUCCAAGAUGUUGUCCCUUCCGGUAAUUUUUUUGAAUGUCCACAGAUGUUCCAAGAUGUUGUCCCUUCUCUCCUUUUAAUUAAUCUGAAAGUUUUGGUUCCUCAUGUACGAGAAAUGUAUCCAAUUCAGAAAGCUGUGACAGCAAUAAUGAUUUUGAUUGGAUGGAUGAACAACAAACUAUGGAGCCAAAGCACACAAGUGUAAGUCAUCACCAAAAAGGACACUUUCAGGACACUUUCAGGUAAUCUAGUUAUCCAUUGAAGCACAUUCUACGCCUUUUUGCCCUUUUUCUGGAAGAGAGGAUUCUAUGUAUCUGUGUGAAUUCUAGAAUUUACACUCACGUGGAAUGCUGUUCAGCGAAGCAUGCGAAGAUAGGAAAAUGUCCCAAAAGAAUGAGGUUUUCAUGCGUCUUCAGUCAACACUAUCUCUACAGAAACAUGUAACAACAAUCCACGGGUCAUGACUUGAGAUUAAAAAAGAAACAGGUAAUCUGAAAUUUUGCUGCCAUAACCAUGGGAAGAAAGUCUACCUCCAGAAGACUCUGUUGUAUGAGGGACAAGGCGACAGCAGAGGACACCGAUCUGAACAGAAACGAUGCGAUGCGAGGGCAAAGCACCAGCAGAGCACCGAUUGAUCUGAACAGAAACGCGACGGGAUCGAGGGCAAAAUACAAUUGGGGAUGCUGCAAGUAAUGGUGCAUUGUGGAAUAAACAAGAGGGUUGUAUUGCGCAAUAGUAGUAGAGCGUAUCAUCUCAAGAUUUAUCUGCAGGAUUUUAUUUUGCAGAGGAAACUAAUCAACAUCGUGGAACAAGAGUUGGGUAUAGAUCAAGGCUAUGUGUAAGCAACUCCGGUAUUAAUUAAUACAAUUGUAAGUCUUUAAUUUGUUGGAGUUGCCUCUCACAACUCACAAGAACACGCACAAGAACAAGGUCUCACAACUCACAAGAACACGCACAAGAACAAGGGAUCUGGCAAUGGCUGCCUCUCACGGCCUUGCCCUAGAUCAUCAAGUAAAUGUCCUUUGCAGUGAAUAUACUAAUAUUUAAUAAUGUAUUUAGUGCUAUAGCUAUAACGUAUCACAUAAUCCAUGCAGUGUAUGGAGCAAGAAGCAAUAUUAUGCAAUUACUAGAAAAACCAGUAGUCGGGUAUGCGAAGGUUCUUGCUUGAAUAAUAGUACAACGAAGUAGAAAUAGUAGCGCUGGCACACUCGAUUUUCUGACAAAUCUACUGUCGUGUAACUCGUAGGUUGCCUGUGCACUUAGAUUUCUCUGUUUAAGUGUAAAAUUUAGUGACUUAUUUGCAAGUCCUUUUCUGCAUUGAUUUUUAGACUGUGGUAUAUAUAUACAUCUGAAUUGUUCUUUACUUUCUGGUGUAGUGACCACUUGCGUCAUUUGGGUUAAGGUUCAGUUUAUUUUGCUAAACCAGUCAUGCAACAUUAGCGUAAUAAUCAUAUGGUGUACCCGGGAUAUGUUUCUGAAUACAACAAUCUAUUUUCUAACAAAUUAGAUUGUUAAGUUUUUCUUAUGUUCCUCUUAUCGUCUUUCCAGAUUUGCAAGUUUUGUCUUUUUGUGUGAAAAUGUAUGUUGCAAGGCUUUGUUAAAAAAGACAAUAUUAUAUUUACAUAAAAAGCUAUACAAAUCCUUAUAAUUUUGUUGGAAGCAUAUAGCAUUGGUCCACCGAAGAACCAGAACAAGGCAUGUCAGCAGUUUAUUCACUAUGAAACUCUAAGCUGGAAUUAAUGUUCUUAAUUGAUGAUUAUUAAUGAAUGCCAAGAAUAGGUGUUUACCUGAAUGGUACUGCUAUUCUUGACAAUGGGGUCCAGUUGAUCUUCCAAAAACUGUGUGUUGCAGCUUUGGCACAUGGAUAAUUGUAGAGGGAAUAAGAAAAGUGAUCAAUGAUGUCUUCUGCAGAAGCACAUAGGCAAACAGUUUGAACAGACUGCACAGAUUUGAAAUUGACAUGCCGUUUAGAUUAAAAUCACCGUUUACCCUUUUGUCCAACCGAGAAGGCAAGGGUAUUGGUACCAUCACAAGAAAUAAAUAUGAACACCCUGUGCUCCCCUCACGGAGGACCCAAUAUCACUACACAAGCUUUAGAGUGGCUAAGCCUCGCAAGACAAAGAAAAUAUAUUGAUAUACUCUCUCCGUCCAACAAAAGAUGUCUCAAGUUUGUCAAAAUUUGGAUAUAUC